AUUGAACGCUGGCGGCAUGCUUUACACAUGCAAGUCGAACGGUAACAGGCCGCAAGGUGCUGACGAGUGGCGAACGGGUGAGUAAUGCAUCGGAACGUGCCCAGUCGUGGGGGAUAACUACUCGAAAGAGUAGCUAAUACCGCAUACGAUCUAUGGAUGAAAGCGGGGGACCGUAAGGCAUCGCGCGAUUGGAGCGGCCGAUGUCAGAUUAGGUAGUUGGUGGGGUAAAGGCUCACCAAGCCAACGAUCUGUAGCUGGUCUGAGAGGACGACCAGCCACACUGGGACUGAGACACGGCCCAGACUCCUACGGGAGGCAGCAGUGGGGAAUUUUGGACAAAGGGCGCAAGCCUGAUCCAGCAAUGCCGCGUGCAGGAAGAAGGCCUUCGGGUUGUAAACUGCUUUUGUACGGAACGAAACGGCUCUGGUUAAUACCCGGGGCUAAUGACGGUACCGGAAGAAUAAGCACCGGCUAACUACGUG
This 482-nucleotide ribosomal RNA is filed under the name uncultured bacterium. RNAcentral describes it as "partial 16S ribosomal RNA". It matches the Rfam family "Bacterial small subunit ribosomal RNA", at positions 30 to 507 of the family's 1533-position model. The record is from RNAcentral.